AGAGUUUGAUCCUGGCUCAGGAUGAACGCUAGCUACAGGCUUAACACAUGCAAGUCGCGGGGCAGCAUGUCGGUUGCUUGCAACCGAUGAUGGCGACCGGCGCACGGGUGAGUAACGCGUAUCCAACUUGCCCUUCACCACGGAAUAAUCCAGUGAAAAUUGGUCUAAUACCGUAUGAGGUCAUACGAUGGCAUCAGAAUAUGACGAAAGGUUUGGCGGUGAAGGAUGGGGAUGCGUCUGAUUAGCUUGUUGGUGAGGUAACGGCUCACCAAGGCGACGAUCAGUAGGGGUUCUGAGAGGAAGGUCCCCCACAUUGGAACUGAGACACGGUCCAAACUCCUACGGGAGGCAGCAGUGAGGAAUAUUGGUCAAUGGGCGAGAGCCUGAACCAGCCAAGUAGCGUGCAGGAUGACGGCCCUAUGGGUUGUAAACUGCUUUUAUAUGGGGAUAAAGUGAGCUACGUGCAGUUUAUUGCAGGUACCAUAUGAAUAAGGACCGGCUAAUUCCGUGCCAGCAGCCGCGGUAAUCCGGAAGGUCCAGGCGUUAUCCGGAUUUAUUGGGUUUAAAGGGAGCGUAGGCCGCCCCUUAAGCGUGUUGUGAAAUGCCGCGGCUCAACCGUGGCACUGCAGCGCGAACUGGGGGGCUUGAGUGCACGCAACGCAGGCGGAAUUCGUGGUGUAGCGGUGAAAUGCUUAGAUAUCACGAAGAACUCCGAUUGCGAAGGCAGCUUGCGGGAGUGCGACUGACGCUGAAGCUCGAAGGUGCGGGUAUCGAACAGGAUUAGAUACCCUGGUAGUCCGCACAGUAAACGAGGGAUGCCCGCUGUGUGCCUUAAUGGUACGCGGCCAAGGGAAAGCGUUAAGCAUCCCACCUGGGGAGUACGCCGGCAACGGUGAAACUCAAAGGAAUUGACGGGGGCCCGCACAAGCGGAGGAACAUGUGGUUUAAUUCGAUGAUACGCGAGGAACCUUACCCGGGCUUGAAUUGCAGAAGACGGAUCCAGAGAUGGUGACUCCCUUCGGGGCUUCUGUGAAGGUGCUGCAUGGUUGUCGUCAGCUCGUGCCGUGAGGUGUCGGCUUAAGUGCCAUAACGAGCGCAACCCCUGUCCUUAGUUGCCAUCAGGUAGAGCUGGGCACUCUGAGGAUACUGCCAGCGUAAGCUGCGAGGAAGGCGGGGAUGACGUCAAAUCAGCACGGCCCUUACAUCCGGGGCGACACACGUGUUACAAUGGCGUGGACAAAGGGAAGCCACCUGGCGACAGGGAGCGAAUCCCCAAACCACGUCUCAGUUCGGAUCGGAGUCUGCAACCCGACUCCGUGAAGCUGGAUUCGCUAGUAAUCGCGCAUCAGCCAUGGCGCGGUGAAUACGUUCCCGGGCCUUGCACACACCGCCCGUCAAG
Molecule: ribosomal RNA, 1399 nt
Filed under: uncultured bacterium
Lineage: Bacteria
Description: bacterial SSU rRNA
Rfam family: Bacterial small subunit ribosomal RNA
Source: RNAcentral